AAUGAACGCUGGCGGCGUGCCUAACACAUGCAAGUCGGAUGUGCCCGCAAGGGUGCAUGGCAGACGGGUGAGUAACGCGUGGGGAAUCUACCUUUUAGUGGGGAAUAACGCUCCGAAAGGAGUGGUAAUACCGCAUGUGACCAUCGGCUGGGAUGCUGAUGGUGAAACCCUGGGACCUUCGGGCCAGGGGCUAGAAGAGGAUCCUGCGUCUGAUUAGCUAGUUGGCGGGGUAACGGCCCACCAAGGCGACGAUCAGUAGCCGGCCUGAGAGGGUGUCCGGCCACACUGGGACUGAGAUACGGCCCAGACUCCUACGGGAGGCAGCAGUGGGGAAUAUUGCACAAUGGGCGCAAGCCUGAUGCAGCGACGCCGCGUGGGGGAGUGACGGCCUCGGUUGUAACGUACUUCUAGCAGGACGGAAGGGUAGGACGUAGACGGUACCGUACGU
Molecule: ribosomal RNA, 448 nt
Filed under: uncultured bacterium
Lineage: Bacteria
Description: bacterial SSU rRNA
Rfam family: Bacterial small subunit ribosomal RNA
Source: RNAcentral